CGCCCUUAGAGUUUGAUCAUGGCUCAGAUUGAACGCUGGCGGCAGGCCUAACACAUGCAAGUCGGACGGUAAGAGAGCUUGCUCUCGACGAGUGGCGGACGGGUGAGUAAUGUCUGGGAAACUGCCCGAUGGAGGGGGAUAACUACUGGAAACGGUAGCUAAUACCGCAUAACGUCGCAAGACCAAAGUGGUUCGUCACACCAUCGGAUGUGCCCAGAUGGGAUCAGCUAGUAGGUGGGGUAACGGCUCACCUAGGCGACGAUCCCUAGCUGGUCUGAGAGGAUGACCAGCCACACUGGAACUGAGACACGGUCCAGACUCCUACGGGAGGCAGCAGUGGGGAAUAUUGCACAAUGGGCGCAAGCCUGAUGCAGCCAUGCCGCGUGUAUGAAGAAGGCCUUCGGGUUGUAAAGUACUUUCAGCGGGGAGGAAGGGGGCGAAGUAAUCUUCGUUCUUGACGUUACCCGCAGAAGAAGCACCGGCUAACUCCGUGCCAGCAGCCGCGGUAAUACGGAGGUGCAGCGUUAAUCGGAAUUACUGGGCGU
Molecule: ribosomal RNA, 545 nt
Filed under: uncultured Pantoea sp.
Lineage: Bacteria; Pseudomonadati; Pseudomonadota; Gammaproteobacteria; Enterobacterales; Erwiniaceae
Description: bacterial SSU rRNA
Rfam family: Bacterial small subunit ribosomal RNA
Source: RNAcentral